Molecule: non-coding RNA, 45 nt
Filed under: Trichobilharzia regenti
Lineage: Eukaryota; Metazoa; Platyhelminthes; Trematoda; Strigeidida; Schistosomatidae
Source: RNAcentral
AUUUAGAUGAAGAGUCCCAUAUAGGACGAAAUAUUCAUCUUGGAU